Molecule: small RNA, 1035 nt
Filed under: Malus domestica (apple)
Lineage: Eukaryota; Viridiplantae; Streptophyta; Magnoliopsida; Rosales; Rosaceae
Description: sRNA MD13G0037600
Source: RNAcentral
AAAUUAUUCGGUUGUCGUACUUUAAGUGAUUCAUAGUUACGAAAUAUUUAGGUUCCAUUACAUAAACAUUACAUAACUAAUCUCAAAUGGUACUAUAACAAUAUGCCAAUAUCGCAAAUCAAUCACCUAUUUAAAACUCAUAUAAUAAUAUGUAAUAUUCUGAUAAAAAACAAAGGAAUAUGUAAUCGAAUUGAAACAUCGAGACAGUAACAUGUGAAAUCUGUCUAGGCCGUGGGAUGUUGGAAGGUUUGAGCUGGCAAAGUCCAAGGCCGUCCAAUUCGCGGUUGCACGUUUCAAAGUUCAAACGUCGCUCCGAUGACGCAACUCUCUCAAAUGAUACCCGCAUCACUUAGCACCCAGCCCAUUGGUUACUUAAUUAAAAAGAAAAACCAAACGUCGGAGAAAUCAAGGUUUACCAAUAUAAACAGCAACAAUAACAUUGAUUGUACGCAACCUCGUCGCUCUAGAUCUCGAGCUGUAUUGUCGGCAUCGCCGUCCACGGCGUCGUAUUGUGAGAUUAUCAGGCAAUGGAUGCGGAUAAGCGGAAGCGCGACGACGGAGGAGAAUUAGAGGGGAAGAGAGCGAGAGGAGUCGAGGAAGAUCGUAAAAGAGGUCAGGAGACGGUAACGGAGGAGGAGGUGGAGGAGUUCUUUGCGAUACUCAGGCGGAUACAGGUGGCAGCCAAGCACUUCCGCAGGACAGCGUCGAUGGAAUGGAGGCGCUCUUUCGAAGUUGAAGAUUUUGAGGAAGAUAACGAGUCUCUUAUGAUGAAAGACCAAAAACAGGAAGAGAAAAAAAGGGAGGCGGGGGCGGAUACGGGUUUGGAUCUUAACACACAUCCCGUAUGAUCCAAACGAAGCUGAAACUGAAAGAAUUGUCUCAUUUUAUAUCUUGUUGUAAUUUGUAAUGUUUAUUACAGCAACAUUUUAUAUAUCUAAAAUCAAAGAAAUAUUGGAACUAAUAAUACUUUGUUGUUGUAGAUAUGUUCUUUGUACGUUGAGUUAAGAGUUAACAAAGAUUUACUUUUAAAUCUGA